AGAGUAUUCAGAGUGGCAUCGGUCAGGUGACUCCACCCUGUGUGACUGCAUCGCUCAGGGGACUUCUCCAUCUAUUUGUUUCUGCCCCUGGCAAGGCAGCAGGCAGCCAUUUUGAAGGCCAGACCAUGGUCUUGAUCUCCUUUGCUCUUCUUCAGCAUUUCGUUUCCCUAAAGCUACCUCUUCCUCCUCCUCUGACUCUCUUGCCUCUCUCUAAGCCACUUCUGUCUUUCUCCCCCUGCCCUUGUUCUACCCUUUUCACCUCCUGUAGAUUCAGGACAUUCUGAAUGUCCUGGUGUCUGACCUUAACCGUUCCAAUGGGGUAGUGCUCCCCACACUGGACAAGUGGAAGAAGACCAGUGUCUCCCUGUAAACCGUGGCCUUCUGUGCACCGAGCUCAGUGGCUCUUCCCCACCAAAACUCCUAAGAGAAGUCAUCUCUCCCCAAAAGGAUCCCCACAAGAUGUUCUGGCCCUCUGCUGACUGCUCCCUGGAAUCUGCAUCUCAAGCACUGAGAAUGCUGUGCUCUCCAUUGGUCACCUUCAGACUCCAUUUCCCUGCUGCCAAGUCUUCUCUUCUGCCCUGUGUAUUCCAUGGUGAACCCCUUAAUGUCUGUUCUGUGCCACUAGCUUGGCCCUGGGCCUUUUAUUUAUACCCGAGUCUUACAACGAAGAGUGUCCUGAGCAGACAGUGUCCA
Molecule: long non-coding RNA, 693 nt
Filed under: Homo sapiens (human)
Lineage: Eukaryota; Metazoa; Chordata; Mammalia; Primates; Hominidae
Description: HSALNT0396740
Source: RNAcentral